Molecule: ribosomal RNA, 425 nt
Filed under: uncultured bacterium
Lineage: Bacteria
Description: partial 16S ribosomal RNA
Rfam family: Bacterial small subunit ribosomal RNA
Source: RNAcentral
GUGGGGAAUCUUAGACAAUGGGCGCAAGCCUGAUCUAGCCAUGCCGCGUGAGCGAUGAAGGCCUUAGGGUUGUAAAGCUCUUUCGUGGGGGAAGAUAAUGACUGUACCCCAAGAAGAAGCCCCGGCUAACUCCGUGCCAGCAGCCGCGGUAAUACGUAGGGGGCGAGCGUUGUCCGGAAUUACUGGGCGUAAAGCGCGCGUAGGCGGAUUGGAAAGUUGGGGGUGAAAUCCCGGGGCUCAACCUUGGAACUGCCUUCAAAACUCCUGGUCUGGAGUUCGAGAGAGGUGAGUGGAAUUCCGAGUGUAGAGGUGAAAUUCGUAGAUAUUCGGAGGAACACCAGUGGCGAAGGCGGCUCACUGGCUCGAUACUGACGCUGAGGUGCGAAAGCGUGGGGAGCAAACAGGAUUAGAUACCCGAGUAGUCC